CCACUUCCUAGGUAGAUCACUUGUCUCUUGGAUGUCAAAGAAACAAAAUAGUGUUGCUUUGUCAACGGCCGAGGCGGAAUACAUUGCCGCCGGUGCUUGUUGUGCACAAAUUCUCUACAUGAAACAAACUUUGCUAGACUAUGAAGUAGUACUAGACAAAGUACCUUUGUUGUGUGACAACGAAAGUGCCGUAAAACUUGCAAACAACCCGGUUCAACACACCCGCACAAAACAUAUUGACAUCCGCCACCACUUCCUUAGGGAUCAUGUUGCUAAAGGUGAUAUAUCCUUAGAGAAUGUGGGAACGGAAAAUCAAUUGGCGGAUAUCUUCACAAAACCCCUAGAUGAAGCUAGGUUUUGUAUGUUGAGAAAUGAACUUAAUGUGCUUGACCUAUCCAACUUCACUAAAAGAUAAAAGUUGUGUGUUGAAUCUUGUAAAUAACUUUUUCUUUGCAUAUCAUGCAUACUAAAACUAAAAAUAUAACUUGCAUGUAGGGCUUGUCUAACAUGGUUAAGAUAACCCCCUUGUGUGUGUGAAAAAGCUUAACCUUGGUUCAAACUUGACAAGCAUUAGUUUACUUUCAAGUAUUGCAUUACAACUCAUAUCAUAUGCAUGCUUGUUAGUUGACCGUUUCUUUUCGGUUAUUCGUUGAGCAUCCACUGUGUUCGUCCAUAGAUAGGGGGAGCAUUCAAAGCUCAUGGUGAUUCAAACCCCUAGCUUUAUGGCCAUAUGAUGCUCCUUCGUGAUUUUCUCGAACUAUUUUCAUAAAAAUCUACUAAGCCUAUGGCUAAAUAUUUGUGAAAAUUUGAGGGUUUGAGAGAAGUCACUCAUACCAGUUCCAUUUGGUGUUUUAUUGUGUGCUUUUGGAAAUGGAACUUGGUUGGGUCAAAGUCGGACGUGAUGCUUAGUUGGAAAAGUGCUCAGAGGAGCACCGGACGAUGCACCGGACGCUGCCUCUGUGCGUCCGGUGCGGUGAGUGUGCCAGACUGCACUCACCGGACGCAGGAACAGUGUUCCUGCAGCGUCCGGUGCUGUGCGUCCGGUGCUCACCCUUUGUGACCUGAAGCACCGGAUGCUAAAGCCAGCGUCCGGUGCCCAUCGUCCGGUGCAAUGCCGAAUUGCAGACCUCUCUGCGCAUGAGUCCGGUGGUCACCGGACGCGUCCGGUGCCACAUUAAGAGCGUCCGGUGACCCCGCGGCGGGCGCAUAUAGCCCGCGCCCAGGGGCUCUCCGCGGCAGUUUUUCUUCUUCCUCCUUCAAUCUCUGGCCGCGCCCGUGCCCUAGCGCCGCCGUCGUCGUUCGUGCGUCGUUUCCCGGCGAGUUUGGAGUCUUCCCCCGCGCCAGAUCCGCUAAGGGACUUCUUCCCUUCCCUUUCCUCGCUCUGGUUUCCUUCUUUGCGAAGAGAUUAGGGUUUGGGGUAAGUCCUUUACUCUGUCCCCCAAGGUGCUCGAGUCUUUGUGUCAUUGGAAAAGAAUGGUGUUUUGAUCUCGAUCUUAUACCUCAAUUCCUUGUAGCACCUUGAGGAAGAGGGUUCGUGGUCUCCGGCAGUCUUCGAUCGAGAGUUUCUCAUCCGGAUUGCGUCUCGUCUGUCGAUCGUAAGCCAUUCACGCUCGUUUCCUAUCUUUUCUUGUGAUCCAUAGGUUUAUCUCCCCUCUAGUCGAUAUGAUUGCUUAUAUAGAUCCUAUCUUGUCGAUUCCCUGCAGCGCUUUAAUCUCCAUUGUCAGUCAGUUGUUUGUCGGACGGUUGUUUUGCAAUGGCUCGUACCAAGAAUGCUAGCGGUCCGACAGCCGGCACUGAAGAUGCCUCAGGUGGUGAUGGUGGAGGUGAUCCUCCCCGUCGCUUCUCAGCGGUAGAGAAAGGCAAAGGAAAGAAGCUGGCCACCAAGAAGUGCAAGGCAAGUGACAGAGAGGCAGAGGUCGCAGAGGCAGUUGCAGCAGCGGCCGAGGCAGCCGAGAGAGGUGGUCGCUCUGGUUCUCUGAGGAUCGGUGAUGAUCUUACGCCACGUUAGCGGCGUGCAGUUCUUGAGGCAGAGGCAUUCCAUGGAUCCCCUCCAGGCACUGUGAUAGUUGGAGGACAGAGGAUUAGGCUUGUGGUUAGGGAUCCGGCUCAGGAGGAUCCGGACACUGAGACAGAGACCCAGGCAGAGGGUCCAGCAGAGGGACAGGAGCAGGAGCAGCCACUGCGGAGGUCGACUCGUGCUCGUACUCAGGCCACUCCCCGGACUGGUACGCAGGGUCAGUCCACCUCCACAGCUCGUGCCACUCCGGCUAGAGGCACUCCAGCUUCCCGCCAGAGGCCAGUCAGGAUCCACCGGGAUCUUACUCUUGUGUCAGCCAGAGAGAUCCAGCAGCUGAGGUUUGUCCCGUUUCCCACUUGGUUUCCAGCUGCCAGGGAUCCCAGAGCAGGUGCCCGCUUCUACACAGUCGUCCAGGAGGACAUCCACGAGGCACUGGUUCGCUCUCAGUCUCAGUUCAGGGAGCAUAGGGUGAUUGACCUAGAGAUUCUCGGGAACGUGGUCGGGGCAGACAUUCGUCAGUAUUUCACUUACCUCCAUGGACUCCCAGAGCUGCUAGCGCUUCCCGGUACUUAUUGUGAGCAGUGGGUUAGAGAGUUCUAUGCGUCAGUGUGGAUUUCUCCAGAUCAUAGUUAUAUCCACUACGCACUGGCAGGGACCGACUACCGAGUGACAGCACAGUUAGCCACACAGGUGCUUGGACUACGAGCCUCUCCCACCAGGAUUCACCAGCUGUGCUACGGGAACGUGGAUCCCCCUCGUCAUCCUCACGAUGGUGAGAUACCACCGGUUGACUUCGUGGCUCCAUGCUUACGUGCACCCUUUGGGGAGGGCUCUAGCAGGACAGUGGGAGAUUUGACACGCCCAGCCAGGAUCCUUGACUUCGUGUUGAGGAAGACCCUUCUCCCCAGGACAGGCUACAGAGACGGGUUCACUCGCAUCUAGCAGUGGUUAGUUGCUCACCUCAUCUCCCAGACAGAGUUCGAUUUGUGGGAUCUGAUUGUCUCAGAGAUAGAGGACACCAUCUCAGAGAGCUUCAGAGGCCCGGCGUCAGUUGCCCUACGCACAUUGGAUCACCCUGAUUAUACUUCGUGCUAGGCCACUGCCCCUGCCAGCUCACUUGCAGAGGGAGUUGACAGAGUCCAACACAGUCUUCCCCCACUACGACCCCAGGCAGAUGUUGAGAGCGCACCACGACCUCAGAGGUGCACCUCCUCCUCGUGCUCCACGUGGACCGGUGCCCCCACCUUCUCCUAGGGGCACCCGCAGUACAGCAGCAGUUGCAGAGACAGAGGAGCAGCAGGAUAUAGCUAUUGGCGCGUUUGCUGAUGCAGAGGCAGAGGGCGAGUUUGACUUCGCCUCAGACACUUCAGACGACGACUAUCAGCCGCCAGCGACUGACCUUCCUCCCAGAGCUCACGACCACGAGGCAGGCGGUUCUUCGAGUGCUUCAGACCCUGCCCUGCUUGCUAUCUUAGAGGGGAUGAGGGCAGAUCAGCGGCGUGCAGCUGAGGAGCAGGCGAGGCGAGACAGGGAUCAGGCUGCCAUCAAUGCAGCCAUGCAGGCCAGGCAGGAUGAGCUCCAGCGUCAGCUUCUCACUUUUCAGGAGCAGCAGCUUGCUUUCCAGGCCCAGCAGACAGCGAUGAUGGCCGCUCUCAUGGCCGCCUCAGGGAUUCAGCUACCGCAGAUCCAGCUCCCAGGCACGUCGUCUGUCAGGCCACCUACUCCAGUGCCUCAGACUCAGAGCCCGUCUCAGCAGCCGCUUCAGCUACCAGCUCAGAGUCAGCCGUUUUCAACUCCACAGCACCAGGUCUCUCAGGGUGCUAUCUCUUCCGGCUUUGAGCAGGUACCUCAGUUCACUCCUCUCCGCUCAGGCUUCACUCCUCAGUCAGCGUCAGCGUCACAGCUUGUGUGGGAUUCACAGACAGAUCCGCACCUCAGCUUCACCUACAGUGCUCUGACUGGUGACCCUACGCCUCCUCCUCUGUAGGCUCCUGCAGUCUUUACGGCGUCAGUUACCACUACAGAGCUUCUGUCGUCGUCAGUAGCGUCGUCCGAGCAGCUUGCACCGUCUACUACACUACCAGAGACGACAGCUACAGCGACCGAGUCCGUGCCUGCUUCGUCAGCCGGACUCGAGCAGCCAGCACAGCCUGUGACAGCUCUAGAGCAGACCCGGACCGCUUCUCCAGCUCCUGCAGCUUCAGAGGGUCACUCCACUUCCUCUGCCUCGACGGCCGACAGUUCAGAUGAUGCAGCUCGCUUCGUGACCGUGCCGAGGGACUCCACUGCUCCGCCUCCUCCACCAACUUCUUAGGUUUUUGGCGCUUGAUGCCAAAGGGGGAGAGAGUUCGUAGUAUGGGAGUUAGGAGUUAGGGGGAGCUAGAGAGGGUUUAGGAGUCUUCUUUUGAGGAGUCUAUUCUUUUGAGAUACCCUUUUUUUUAUGUGUGCUACUUUUUCAUGCAUCACGUUUACUUUAAUGCAUUGCACUUGUGUGAGAUACUAUGGUUGUGAGACAUGACUUGUGGUUAUUGUGAUAUCUUAAUGUCAUGUGUUUUGGCUCUUUUUACCCUUUGCUUCCGCGUUUUACUCUGAUGUAACUAUGAGCCUUAUGUUUAUAUCCUGUCGUAUACCACUCACAUAUUUGGAUGCAGGGUAUUGGAUUUGGUUGAUAUAAGCAGGACUAAUCCCCUUGUUCUUAUUGUAAUAUGCUUAUUGAAACCAAAUCACUUUAAAAACCUCAACUCUCUUUAUACACGAGGUUGUCAUCAAUCACCAAAAAGGGAGAGAUUGAAAGAGCAUCUAGGACCCUAGUGAUUUCGGUGAUUAAUGACAUUAUUGAUUACUAUGACUAACGUGUGUUUUGCAGAGGCAAAGUCAUAGGUAAGGUCGUGGUAAAUAGGUUCUCGAUGGACAGGGACAUACAUGCCUACUUAAUAGUGGAAAUCGUUUCGGUUUUCAAAGGAUGGAUGGACAUUGUCAAGGCUAGACUAGGUCUAAGUGCCAUAUGGUGAAGAAGGGCACUUGGAGUAGUUUAGGACUUUGUUUUCCUUGGACCGUACUAUUAAGAGGGGCUUUGAUCUAGUAGCUUGACUUAGGCAAGGCUUUAGGUUUAGGUGUGGUGCACACUUAGUAAACCUAGCUCUAGGCAGCUCAGAGAUAGUCCUUAGAUCGAGAGGAACCAACUUCGUUUUGGAGCGUUCUCGUUUCAACGAAGGUUGGGUGCCCAAAGGGGCACCGGACGCUCUGUGAGUGCGUCCGGUGAGGUCCCUAGCCGUUAGAACAGUGUGGUGCUUAGGGUUAGGCACCGGACGCUAGCACCGGACGCACCGGGUAGCGUCCGGUCCCUUACCCAGAGAGCUUGCGAGCUUUCCCUGAGCACCGGACGCGCCGGGUAGCGUCCGGUCCCAUGCGCAGGGAGCUUGUAAAGUUUUCUCGAGCACCGGACGGUGCACCGGACGCUGGGAGUUAGCGUCCGGUGACCUGUCAGAGAAAAGUGCAGGUAGCCGUUAUGAAGCACCGGACGCUCGGUGCAGUGCGUCCGGUGCAACAUAAUGUGCGUCCGGUGACCCCGUUUUCAGUGGAAAACGGUUGGCCGACCUUUAGACUUCGUGGAUAGUAUUUAUACUUUUCCACCUCGUCCAUGAAAGGUCUCUUGCCCAUUUGAACAUCAGAUAAACUUGUUGUGGAGCAAGAGAGUUGCAAGAGCCUAGAGAGGAUUGAGUUUUGAGUGAAUUCUUGAGAGAAUCCUCCUCUAGUGAGUUCCAAGAGUCAAGUGUGCAUCCACCACUCUCUAGUGCCUUGUUUGGGUCAAGUGAGAGUUCUUUGCUUGUUACUCUUGGUGAUCGCCAUCACCUAGACGGUUCGGUGGUGAUUGGAGGCACGAAGAUCACCCGGAGUUCUUGUGGGUGGCUCGUGUCAAGCUUGUGAGCGGUUUUGGGCGAUUCACCGUGACGGAGUGUCGAAGAAUCAGCCCGUAGAGAGCACUUGGUCCUUGCGCGGACCAAGGGGGAGCAAGACCCUUGCGCGGGUGCUCCAACGAGGACUAGUGGAGAGUGGCGACUCUCCGAUACCUCGGCAAAACAUCGCCGAGCACUUUCUUCCACUACUCCUUUACUUUCUAGCAUUAACUUUGUGCUUUUACAUUCUUAGAAUUGCCUUGCUAGAAUAGGAUUGGAACUAAGUUGCAAAACUUUUAUUCGGUAGCUCUCUAAGUCACACUAGGCACAAGGGGUUGAAUUGGAGCUUAUAGGUUGCUUAAAUUUUUAGAGAAGCCCAAUUCACCCCCCCCCCUCUUGGGCAUCUUGAUCCUUUCAAAUAGAAAAUCUAAUUUUGUUGUACUAUACAUGAGUAGAUCUACACAGUGAAUAUAUAAUAUGAUACACUUUAAUACAAAAUUUUUGCUAUGAAUGUUUUGCCAUUUUAUUUUUUUUAUUUGGCUAAACCUUUGAAAAAUCAUAGUAAAUCACAAAAAAAAAUAUAAAAUGGAAAAUCCAUUUUUGUUGGACUCUACCUGAUUAGAUAUACACAACAAACAUAUAAUAUGGUAUGCUUCAAUUCAACAAAAUUAUUAUAGAAGCUGCAACUAUGAAUUAUUUAAAUUAAUUACAAAAAAGCAUAGAUCUAUAGCUACAAUAAAAAAAUUAUACUAAAUUACAUGUUCACUAUGUAGAUAUGUUCAUGUGGAGUCUAACAAAAUUGAAUUUUCUAUUCUAUGAUUUUUCUAUAAUUUACUAUGAUUUUUCAAAUAUUUUAGCCGAAAUAAAUAAAAAAGAAAAAGACAAACCUUCGUAGGAAAAACUUUGUACUAAAACAUAACAUAUUAUAUGUUUACUAUAUAAAACUACUCAUGUGAAAUUUAAAAAAUAGGUUUUCUAUUUUUAUGAUUUUUUUUAUAAUUUACUAUGAUUUUUCAAAAAUUUAGCCGAAAUAAAUAAAAAAAGACAAAACAUCAUUACUGUAGCAAACCAUUAUUCGCUAUAGCAAAACCACCUUCAAAACCACUCUAAGGAGGUAAAAUCUGCGGUUUGAAAAGUUGAGAAAUGUGGUUUGUCUAGUUUAAAUUUGAGAGAGGAAAAACGGACUUUGUGAAAGUGAACGAAUAAAAAGUAGACUUUUUCCUCACAUGAUUGACAUAUCUGUUUCAAGAAAAUAAUAGAAUAUUUGAUUACAACAGAUGAUCAAACAUAUGCUUGUAUGUUAAUAUAUUAAAUAUUUAAAGUAUUUCACAUGAUAUAGAUGAUAUGGAUAUUUUUUGUAGUUAAUAUGGGAUGACAUAGACUUAGUGGAGAAUAAUGUAGACAUCUUGCAUGAAGAGAUAGAACAUUUAGUGGGUCACUUAGCGGGGAAUAAUGUGGACACCUUGCAUGAAGAGAGAAUUCAUCUAGUGGGGUUUAGCUUUAUAAGAGUACUAGGAGGAUUCCUCGCGCGUUGCUGCGGGUAUGAAGAAGAAAUAUAAGUAGGUUAGAAUAUGUAUUGCUAAUGGAUAACUUGUAUGUUUAGAGAAAUAGGUAACUUGGUGACGUGGAUAUUACAAUUGCAUGAGUUAAUGGAUUUUAAUUAUGUGUGAUAAUAGAUUGCUUAGUUUGAUAGCUUAUAUGUUGAGAGAAAUAGGUAGUGGGGUGUGAUAGUGUCUACUUAGAUAGCUUGCAUGUUGAGAGAAGAAAUAGGUAACUUACUGACAUGGAUACUACAAUUGCCUUAGCUAAUGGAUUUUAAUUGUGUGUGAUAAUAGAUUGUCGAGUUGGAUAGUUUGCAUGUUAAAAGAAAUAUGUAGUGUGAGAUGUGAUAGUGCAUUGUCUACUUAGAUAGUUUGCAUGUUGAGAGAAAUAGGUAGUGGGGUUUUACUUUAUAAGAGUAUAAAAUAAGAUAUGAUUCAUAGCCAGCAGUCCGCUAUAUAAAUUAAAGGUAUAAAUUAAAGGAAUAACAUAGGUUCAUGUGACCGGUGAAAGAGCUACUAGAGUUGUUUGUAAGAAGUUCAAAUGCACGAAUUGAGUUACUCGCAUUACAUGUAGCCUUUAUGAAAACCAAAAAAUGAGGGGAAUUUUUUUUUUUUUUGAAGAUGAAGAAUCAGGAGGGGCUCGGAGCCCUUAAGAAAUUACAAAUUCACUUGGGCUUUCAUAUGAUGUACUACGUCCAUCCUGAUAAGGAUGUAAUUUUACUUCUCUACUUGGUCAAACUAAAACUUUAACAAAAUGUUAAAUAUUAACAUUUAUGAUAACAAUAUAUUUCAUGAUGAAUACAAUGACACUUAUUUGGUAGAAAAAACAUAUAGCUUUUUGUAUAAACUUUGCCAGAUUCAAAAUCAUCUACCUCGAUACUAUGCUAAAAUUAUAUUCUUUUCAAGAAGGGAUGAAGCAUUCAUUGUGAGUUUCUAUUUUUUGGAAUCGAGUAAAUCGGUUCCUAAACUCAAUUAUGUCUCAAUCUCAAAAUAAAUCAAAUCCUAGAAUAGGACUAAAUCAAACUAUUUUGAGUUUAACCAGCUUGAUAGUGAAGAAAUACAAUAUCUAUUACAUCAAAUAAGUAGACUAUGAAAAUAAAAUUUUAUGAUGUAUCUAGUGAUGCUAGUUUAAAUCAUAAAUAUUUGUGAUCUUUUCUACAAAUUUGACUAAAUUUAAAAUAAUUUAAUUCAUGACAACUUUAAAAUGUAAUUGAGGGAGUACUAUGUUAAUAAGCCCUCCAACUCAGGGGGUGUUUAAUUCCCCUACAAUAUUCUAAAAGAUUUUGGGUUUUGGUCCAUUAUUUUACAUAAUAGAACUAAAUACCAUGCAAAUUUUUGGUAAAAAGAUGGUUAUUCUUUAUUUUAGAUUUUAGCCUCAAAAGGCCAGAAAAACUCAAAAAAGCCUAAAUUUUGUAUUUUAGAUGGAACUAAACAUAACCUGAAAAUUUUAGCAUUUUGUAUUCCAUCAUUCUAAAAUAGUUGACAUUUUGUAUUUUUUUAACUAAACACCCCCUCAAUUAAAUUAGCUUAGCAGCCGGCUUUCCACGACAACGCAAGAAGUGCGAGUUGGGACUUGGGAGGCACGGAGAGAACGGACACGUGGGCAACUGGCUAGGCGGGCCCACUCGACGAUGAAUUUCUUCUAAAUACGAUUCACGCAACAAAAGAGGCCCAGGGAGCGUGGCCACGUCGCCCGCAAUUCUCGGCCGUCCGAUCGGCCGGCCGAACGGCCCAGAUCACCAUUCUCAUUUUACAAAAAAGCUCUCGCACUUUGUUGAAAUAUAACCCGCCGUCCAGCCUGUGGAUCGGGCCAUUCUCUGUAGUUUUUCGAAAAAACCCUCGCACUUUGUUGAAAUAUAACCCGCCGUCCAGCCCACUCUCUCAUAUUUUUUAUUCAAAAUAGUCCUCAAACUUUACUGAAAUUAAAGAUCAGUCCAUAUGCGCCUGCCUCCAACCUGGGCCGGCCUCAAGCUUGCUGGGCCUAAGUGGGCCAAAUACGACCCUAUACUAUUUUUAUUUUCCUAUUAAUUUUUAAUCUUUUCUUUUCAAAAUAGAGAUCUCAAAAAAACGUUAAAAAAAUAUAGAAAAAUCAUAAAAAUACCAAACUAAUUUUGUUGAGUUUAUUAUGACUAGAUCUAUGCAUUUAACUUAAAACAUCAUAUGAUUUAGUGUAUUUUAUUUGAUAGAUAUAUACAUCUAUAAUUUUAUGUCAGUGAUUAAUUUUUUGUUCGUAUCGCAUAUGAACUAAAAAUAUCUCUAAAACUUAAUUCUAAAUAAAUUCAUACUCUUGUUCACAAUCUUUGCUUUCUAAUUAUCCCCAUCUUAACUCUAAAUCAAUUCAUAUAUUUUAUACUAACUCGUAAUAAAAAAAAAUCCAAAACAAAUAAUCGCUGACAUAGAUAUACCAAGCCAAAUAUCUCACCAUAUAUAUGACAUUCCGUACACUCGCAUGAUGAAUACAUCAUAUGACGCAUGUAAACAAACAAAAUGAAUAUAUUUAAAAUGUACACCGUAUAAAGAAAAAAAUAAAAACACAUAAACAUAAGUACGGCGCAUAGCUAACCACCGGUCAUAAGCGGACACGAGUUAGGAUGGAAUUCGAGUCGAAGACGACGCUUGCGCGCCACGCGAGCGCGGGCACUAUUUACUGUACCUCCCGUCCCGCGUGGAUCCAAACCAUUACGUCAACAACCGAUCCCAUCCGCGCUCCAUCCACCGCCGCCGCCGCCACCACCUCAACUCGCUCCUCGUCUUCCCGAGCGCUCCGCCGCGAGAUGGCGAUGGCGUUCGCCUCUUGCGCUUCCACCAGAUCUGCCGCCGGCGACGCUUUCUCCUACGACGACGUGGGGUCGUCGCGCGGUUACCGCCUGGUGACGGUGCGCGGAAGAAGCUUCGUGGAGCUGGAGGGCAUCGUCUUCGACUCGGAAAGGUUCUGCUACCGGCGGACAUCGUCCCUGCUCGACUCGCCGCCGCGAUCUGGAUCUCCAGAUUACACGCCUGGAUCGCUGGAUUGUUCGUCGCAGCGGUCUGGAUCGCCGGAUUAUUCGCCGGCCACCCCGGACCCGGCCACACCGUCGUCGCAGCGAUCUGGAUCGCCAGUCUACUCGCCGGCCAGCCCGGAGUACACUCCAUUAUUGAAGCCGUCGUCGCGGCGUUUUGGAUCGCCAGAUUACUCACCGGCCACCCCGGAGUACACUCCCCUGACACCGUCGUCGCAGCGAUCUGGAUCGCCAGUCUACUCGCCGGCCAGCCCGGAGUACACUCCAUUAUUGACGCCGUCGUCGCGGCGUUUUGGAUCGCCAGAUUACUCACCGGCCAGCCCGGAGUACACUCCCCUGACACCGUCAUCGCAGCGAUCUGGAUCACCAGUCUACUCGCCGGGCAGCCCGGAGUACACUCCCCUGACGCCGCCGAAGCGAUCCGGGUCUCCAGCUUACACGCCGGCCGCCGCGAACUACACGCCCCGGAGUCCUUCAAGCUCGUCUUUAUCCGACUUCUUCCACGACUUUGAUCGCCACUGCACUUCGCCGUCUACGGGCUGCUCAUCGCGCGCCGUCUCGCCGGAGUACACGCCCGCCAGUGCUUCCGGCUGCUGUUCACCACCGGACUACUUCUUCUGCUACACUUCGCCGCCGUCUGCUGGGUACUCGCCGCGCGACGCGUCGCCGGAGUACACGCCUUCGAUUCCCCUCAUCAGCCUUCCCCGGCGUGCUGCUUCUCCAGACUACACCCCGAGCUCCCCUUCGGUGGUGUCAGACGCCGUUUCACGCACGUCUCCACCGAGCCACCGCCGGUUCCACCCGUACCAGAGGAGCCGGACCAGCUGCUGCCAGAGUCGCCUUCCUCCUCCCAGCAUGGAUACUAAACGCAUUCAGUAGUUUGUAAGAAGAGGACAAUCUUGGUUGAGGCAGAUCAAUGCCUGAAUUCUAUGUAUGCAUAAUUAAUCGAAUAUUUUGCCUUUGGCGAAUGUUUUGUUUAGAAUAAGUAGAAUGCUUGUAAUAGGGGAUAUUCUGUAUGAAAAGCAUCAGUGGGGGAGAUAUUCUGUAUGAAAAUCAUCAGUCAAAUGUUUGUAAUAGGGGAUAUUCUGUAUGAAAAUCAUCAAUAGUUUUUGCUGCAGAUUUGAUCUGACAUUGUUUUCUUGCACGUUGCUUCUUCACCUCUGAAUUGUGAUUGUUCUCUAUACUGAACUUUAUUGAAACCACGCCAUUUAUUUUCUAGGAACUCCAUAUGCCUACAUUCCUGGCGUUAAAAGAUUUGACAGAAUCGUCGUCUGAAACUGUAACUCUCAAAAUGAACAAAAACCUGAACUGACAGAGUCCAAUAAAUCAGGCAGCAGAACAGCAGAAACCGGAGCUCCUUCAAGCUUCAGAUCAGUCACACAAGCCAAAGGAAACUUUUUUUUUUACAACAAAAGGUAGGAUAACGAAAGGCAUGCCACCUUUCUACGUAUGGCACAAUUAAUCAAGUAUUGAUUUGCCUUUGCCUUUCUGUAUGAAAAUCAUCAGAACUUUUUUUUUUUUUUUGCUAUUUGGUCUGAAGUUGUAGUGCACGUUGCUUCUCCACCUCUGAAUUGUGAUUGCGACGUUUUUCUUUUCUCAACUCUAUGGAUAGCGUGCACCGUUUAAUUUGUACUAGCAAAUCCAGAUGCGUACGACGAUGGCAGAAGAAUCGUCGUCUUGAAAUUGUAACGCUGAAGAGGAAGACAAGCCUGAAAUUGACAGCCCGAUAAAUCAGGCCGAAACAGCAUGCUGCAGCUGGCUCGAGCUUCAGAUCAGUCACAAGCCAAACGACACUGCUUUGAGCUUUCGACAACAAAGGUAAAGGAUCACGAAAGGAAAAUGUCUGCUUCUUUAUAAUCACUAUGAAUGGCAAUAUGACUCUCUCUCUCUCUCUCGAAGAAACCGGUCAACAAAACUCGGCAGCAGAAAGGGACGCUUCGUCCGAAUGGGCUGUUGGAUCAUCUAGAAGACAUGUCGAUGGAUCGAUCAAAGGCGGCGCUACAAAAGAAAUCAUUCAAAGCUGCACGUGCAACGUCUCAUCCCUUUGCCCUUGCCUUGCUUCAUGGCCUAACCUUAUCGGUUAAAGAAACGCAGCUUGCAUCACGGCAUGAAGAUGGAGUGGUUCAGACUUCAGAGAUAUUCCACACGUGUGUGGAGCUCGAGCUGUUCAAAGAACUGCUCAUGAUUCCUCGUAGGAAAUUCUUGCCAGAACCGGAAUGUUCUUGUGAUGAUGCAAGCAUGUACAUUGUACACUGAAUCAAAACGCCUCCAACCGACAAGGCACUCAGUUGAUCCACAACUUUUUGCCAGAGCAUCCGUCUAGUCCAAUGUUACAGCUUGCAAGUAAUCACAGACUUUGAACAACAGUCCGUGUUUGUUUUCAUGUCAUCCAUCCAUGGAAUCUGACUUGGAACAUACGGGGAGGGGAGAGUGUUGCUUUGAACUACCACUUUGGCUAGCCGGCACUGAAUUCAUUCGUCAUUGUUUUCUUUUAUCCUUUUGGUCUGCUUCCAGUAACACGAGCGAAAGCGAUAUAUAGCACUCCCUGCUUGUGCUUGAUAAGUAGGUUUUACCUCACUAAUGUCUCUAUCAUUGAUGACUUUCUCUUUUUUUUUUUGCAUGUUGCCAGAUUUGUCCACGCGGUCGCAGAAUAAUAAUAGAUCAAUAAACUGGAUAAGAUGGACUAGUGAAAAAACCAACAAAAUGGGGCCAGGUUUUACCAGCACUAGGUUGAACACUUGGUAUAUAUGAUGGCACAAGCCAACCACGCAAAUCAUAACCCGCAAGAGAGAGAAAAACAAAAUUGUCUUUAUUAUUACAUGGGCAUCAUCUUCUGCACAAAAAGAAAAUAGAUUGUUCAGCAGAUGCAACCAAACAAGACGAUGCUAAUAGGACGUAGAAUUAGGUUGCGACCUUUUUGUGUUUUGAUUGAGGGAAAGGUCGCAAAAGAGAGAGAGAGAAUAUGUCAUAACCGAUAGCUGAAGGCGUAUUAUGUAAUUGGCGUAUUCAUCUCUGUAAAGCGUAAAGAGGUUUACUACUUUGUAUCGGUCUAUGACAUGUAGGUCCCAGGGACCAGUAGGCUGCGGCCAUAUAUGGUUUGGAACCUGUUGCGUGUAAAACAGUUAAUCAUUUGGUAAUAGAACACGAGACAGAGAGGUUCCUCUGUUCUCCUCGUCGGCGAUAUCCGUUGUGUGCUCACGUCUCCGGCGAUCACCGCCGGUGGCCAGGGGUAUUACAGUGGUAUCAGAGACAGUCCAUCCUCGGCCCUUCCCUACCCACCCAGCUCGCUCUCGCUCGGCGUCGGCCGCACGGUCCAUUGCCAUCGAGCGAGAUUCACACGAGUUCGGUCCACAUACUCCUGCCGGAUCGAUCCGAUCCUCCAGCCACGACAAGCGCACGGCGGCGGCGUGAAGGGGUUCACUCGCAGCGUCACUUGCGAGUUGGCGAGAGGCGGCGGCGGCAGAUCGGGAUUCGCAUCGGCGACGGAUCCAGGCGCGGCACGGCGCCACGUCCACUGGGUGUCUACAUCUCCGGCUCGACAACUCGACUGGGGGACUACAUCAACCUCUUCGGUUCGGCGGCGUGAACCUCAGUGAGCUCUUCUCAUUCGCUCACAUCUAUUCCUUCUCGUGCUCGCAUCGUUUUCUAGCCCAGGGUUGCGGAACAAUUGUUUCCGUGUAAAAUUCCGUAAGCUAACGGAUGAUUGCGGAGCGGUGGCGUUGGCGAGGAACCGUCCUUCGAUUUGGGUUGCGGAGCACUGUUUCCGUUGUAAAAUUCCUCGAUCGAGCCUCGGUUCCGGGAGUUGGGGAUUUGGUGUUGCAGGAUUUUGGGGAGGUUGUUACUGAACCGGCUGCUACACCAUAUUUUGUUCUUCUGUUUUGAUUCAGUUGGUCACCACGGCACCAUCCAAGCCACCGAAACCUUCGGCUCAGACCUCCAUCUUGCUGGAUCAAAUGGCUACCAAUGCUGGGGUUGAGCAGGGCCACUGGCGCGAGGUGUUGGACCAUCUCGACCUGCUCUCUCAGCGCAUGAAUGAUUUGGGUGUCACUCAACAACAAGUCAAGCAACAGUUGCAGGAGACAAGCCGGAAAGUGGACAAGUGCACUGCUGAUCAAGACAUGAUAGCUCAGCAAGUCAGGGCGAAUGGACAUGCUGUUGCCCAGAUCACUCUUCGUCAGUUUGCCCAUGAGGACCGUUCAGAUACUACUGAAUCAGUAGUGGCAAAUGAGGUGGACACUUUUGAGAAUGUGUUUGCUGCCAAUGAGAGAGCCAACCCCAGACAGGACACAACUUUUCACCCUCGACACAAUCGGCUUCCACAUCGGCGGGACGUCUUACCUCAUCAUGCUUUGCCCAAGAUGUUGUUCCCUUCCUUUGAUGGCUCUCAACCCAAGAUCUGGCUGGAUAAGUGUAAGAACUAUUUCAGGAUCUAUCAAAUUCCUGAUACUCUGUGGGUGGAAGCAGCUUCAAUGCAUCUGCAAGAUAAUGCAGCCAAGUGGUGGCAGACUUACAAGAUGACUUAUCCAGAUGUCUCGUGGCAGCGGUUCUCUACUGAUAUCCAGAGUCAGUUUGGAGGUGAUGAUUACAGAGCGUCACUGAAUGACUUACUUGAUCUCAAACAGGACACCACAGUGGAAGAGUAUACUACCAAGUUUCAGUCCUUGCAGUACGAUGUCACUAUGCAUGGUGGCAAUUAUGAUCCUAUGUUUUUUGCCACUCACUUUGUCAGGGGUCUCAGGGAGGACAUUCGAGCUGUGGUGGAACCUCAGGUCCCUUCAUCUGUGGAGAAAGCUGUUAUUAUCGCCAAGAUUCAGCAAAAGGUCAUAGACCGCAGCAAACUGAAACUCAGCCAGAACAGACCCCCACCCAGGGGACAACAAGCCAAACCUGAAGCUAAACCAUCCAACAUCUAUGGCACUCUGUGGAGGGAUAAGCAACUCAGGGACUACAGGAAGGCUAAUAACCUUUGUUAUGGGUGUGGGGAGAAGUAUGAGCCUGGUCAUGCCGAGCACUGCCCCAAAAGAGCUAAACCUCAGUUGAAUGCUAUGAUAGUCAAUGACUUAGACAAAGAGAUCAGUGAAGACUUGCUCAAUGAGAUGGCUAUUGAUGAGAUGUUAACUGAAAAUUUUUGCCAACUUUCACUCAAUGCCAUGUCUGGUACUGAUUCUGGCAACUCUAUCAAGCUGAAAGCUACUGUUAAGAACAAAACCAUGUUGAUUCUGGUGGAUACUGGCAGCAGCCAUACUUUUGUCAGCGCAGCUUUUGUCCAGUUAGCCCGCUUACCUACAGUGGACAUUCAGCAUCAGAAGAUUCACCUGGCUAAUGAUACCUGGAUGUCCACAACCAAGCAAGUGAAACAAUUGGACUGGUAUAUCCAGGGCCAUACCUUUACUACUGACAUGAUUGUACUGGACCAGUUGCCUUAUGAUGCAGUCUUGGGAUAUGAUUGGCUCAGAACAUUCAGUCCUAUGCAGUGUGAUUGGCAGGCCAAAACAUUACAGUUCCAGCAUCAUCACCAGACUGUUACUCUUCAGGGUUUGGAACCUGCACCUGUGGCAGCAAGUCCUAUUUCGGCUAAAGGUAUGUUCAAAGCUAUUCAGGGUAAUGACAUUUGGGCUUAUGUCAUGGUGGAUAAGAUGGUUCCCGCUUCCCAUGCCACAUCACAAUCACAAAACCCGGAGAAUGCUGAUCUCCAGGAUCUCUUGCUUCAGUAUGCUAACAUAUUUCAGGACCCUAAGCAACUUCCACCACAUAGGAGCUAUGAUCAUGCAGUUCCAUUGUUUCCUGAUGCAGUUCCAGUGAAUGCAAGACCAUACCAUUAUUCUCCACAGCAUAAGACUGAGAUUGAGAAUCAAGUGAAGAAUCUGUUGGAAGCUGGGCUUAUUACUCACAGUCACAGUCCAUUUGCUUCUCCAGUGCUAUUGGUGAAGAAAAAGGAUGGGCAGUGGAGGUUUUGCGUGGAUUAUCGCAAAUUGAAUGCUCUCACCAUCAAAAACAAAUUUCCUAUGCCCAUUGUGGAGGAAAUCUUGGAUGAGUUGGCAGGUGCCAAGUUUUUCACUAAGCUGGAUAUGAGGUCAGGCUACCAUCAGAUUCGCAUGCUACCUGAAGAUGAGUAUAAAACAGCAUUCAAAACACAUCAAGGCCACUAUCAGUUUAGAGUUAUGCCUUUUGGCUUAACCAAUGCUCCUGCCACUUUCCAAUGCAUUAUGAACCAUCUGCUGCAACCAUUCCUCAGAAAGUUUGUACUGGUGUUUCUGGAUGACAUUCUCAUUUACAGUACCUCGUUGGAGGACCAUUUGCAGCACAUCCAACAAGUACUGGAAGUUUUAAGGAAGAAUCAACUAUAUCUCAAACCUUCUAAGUGCACUUUUGCCCAGCCAAGUUUGGAAUACUUGGGUCACAUAAUCUCUGCUCAAGGGGUAGCCACUGACCCAGCUAAGACUCAGGACAUGGUCAACUGGCCUACACCAUCCACAAUGACUGAACUAAGGGCCUUCUUGGGGUUCACUGGCUAUUACAGGAAGUUUGUCAAGAAUUAUGGGGUGAUUGCCAAACCACUGACUGCAGUGCUUCGGCUGAAACAAUUCCAGUGGUCAGCUCAAGCUCAGGAGGCUUUUGACAACCUCAAGGUGGCUAUGACUACUACUCCUGUCUUGGCCCUCCCAGAUUUCAACAAGCAGUUCCAGGUUGAAACUGAUGCCUGUGGUGAAGGAGUAGGGGCUGUGUUGAUGCAACAGGGCCAGCCAGUGGCUUAUCUUAGCAAAGCUUUGGGCACAAAGCACAAGGAUCUGUCCAUUUAUGAGAAGGAAUUCCUGGCCCUCAUUAUGGCAGUGGAAAAGUGGAGACCCUAUUUGGAGAGACAGGAAUUUGUCAUCCUUACUGAUCAUAGAUCCUUAUCCUACCUCAAUGAACAGAAUUUGCAUUCCAACAUGCAAAGGAAGGCUAUGACCCGGCUAAUGGGAUUACAGUUCAAAAUUGUCUACAAACAGGGCAAGGACAAUGUGGCUGCUGAUGCUCUUUCCAGGGUUGCCCAUCUCAUGUCUUUACAGGCAGUGUCUCAAGUGCAACCACAAUGGGUCCAGGAGGUACUCAACUCUUAUGCAACUGAUGCCCAGGCUCAGAAUCUCCUGACUCAACUGGCAAUCUCUAGUCCCAAUGACAAUGGUUUCAGGUUGGACAAAGGACUGAUCAAGAAGGACAAUCUCAUUUGGAUAGGUAACAACUCCGCCCUACAAACAAGGUUGAUUUCGGCAUUCCAUGCAUCUGCCAUUGGUGGACAUUCUGGUUCAAGCGCCACAUAUCACAGACUCAAGAAACUCUUUCUCUGGAAGGGCAUGAAAAAUGAUGUCAAUAGCUUUGUUAAGCAGUGCACCAUUUGUCAACAUUCCAAACACUCCCUUGAGCACCCUGCUGGACUACUUCAACCACUUCCUAUACCAGCUGGUGUGUGGCAAGAAUUGUCCAUGGACUUUGUGGAGGGCCUGCCUAAGUCAGAGGGCUUCACUGUGAUUUUGGUGGUGGUGGACAGACUCACGAAGUAUGCUCACUUCAUUCCUAUGAAGCAUCCUUAUACAGCAGCUACUGUUGCACAACUGUUUAUGGACUGCAUUGUCAAACUCCAUGGUUUACCUCACAGUAUUGUCAGUGACCGUGACCGGAUCUUUAUCAGUACCUUUUGGAAACAGCUGUUCAAGUUGUAUAAAGUCAAUCUGGCACUGUCUACUGCUUACCAUCCGCAGACCGACGGUCAAACUGAGCGUAUAAACCAAUGCCUUGAGAUGUAUCUGCGCUGUUCUGUCCAGGAUGAUCCUAAAACUUGGAAGACGUGGCUGUCUUUUGCAGAGUUGUGGUACAAUUCCUCUUAUCAUAGCGCCCUUGGUUGUUCUCCAUUCAAGGCUCUCUAUGGUUGUGAAGCUAAUCUGGGUGCCCCACUUCAGUCCACUGAGGACACCAUUCAGUCUGUGACAGAGGUCAUCGAGAAUCGGGAGGCCCAUUUAACAAUGCUCAAGCAGAGACUGGAACAUGCUCAAAACCGAAUGAAAAUUCAGGCGGACAAGAAACGGACUGACAGGCAGUUUGCUGUUGGAGAAAAAGUUCUACUCAAGCUUCAACCCUACACUCAAACCUCAGUGGCCAACCGUCCGUUUCCAAAGCUGGCAUACAAAUAUUUUGGUCCGUACACGGUUCUGGAACGAGUAGGAGCCGUUGCCUACAAACUGGAAUUGCCUGACCACAGCGAGAUUCACCCGGUGUUUCAUGUUUCCCAGCUCAAACCUUUCACACCUGAUUAUACACCGGUGUUCACUACUCUUCCAGUACUAACUGAUUUGCAGGCUUCUGAGGCUGUCCCAGAAUACAUUCUUCAGCGCCGUCUGGUCAAGAAAGGAAACCAUGCCAUUCCUCAGGUUCUGGUGAAGUGGUCAGGCUUACCUCUAACGUCGGCCACUUGGGAAGAUCACCAUGUCCUGAAGACGCGCUUUCCUGCAGCACCUGCUUGGGGCCAAGCAGGAUCUUCGGGCGGGGGAGAUGUCAUAACCGAUAGCUGAAGGCGUAUUAUGUAAUUGGCGUAUUCAUCUCUGUAAAGCGUAAAGAGGUUUACUACUUUGUAUCGGUCUAUGACAUGUAGGUCCCAGGGACCAGUAGGCUGCGGCCAUAUAUGGUUUGGAACCUGUUGCGUGUAAGACAGUUAAUCAUUUGGUAAUAGAACACGAGACAGAGAGGUUCCUCUGUUCUCCUCGUCGGCGAUAUCCGUUGUGUGCUCACGUCUCCGGCGAUCACCGCCGGUGGCCAGGGGUAUUACAGAAUACUACAGUUUACUAAUGAUUUUCCAGUCUGGACAUUGAACCAGAUAUACAUAUAUUUGAAGUCAAAAUUGUUAGGCAAUUCUCUGCGCUGGGAUUGGAGCCGAGUAGAGUAAUGCCCAUUUAACAGCACGCGAGGGUCCAAUCUUUGAACAGAGAUACGCAUGCGGACAGAGCUACAGACAAGUCCAAGUCUACUCCGUUUAAAAUUACACGUUAAUACUGGCUGUUACUAUUCGCCUGAUCAAUCAAACUACUUUUAUUUCAGGAACGGCGCCAUUCUGGACUGUAAUUUCUGCGUCUGAACCAUACAAAAACUCCCCGUAUGUCCGAGAAAACAGCCAGUCGAUCAGUCAACGUCGGCGCUGGCUUUGCCUAAUUUUCCAAUGCACGAAAAAGGAAAAAAGGUAUGCGCGGUAAAAGAUUGCGGUGGAGGAAAACCCAGUGGCCUGAAAAAUUGGACGCGUAUAUAUAUAUAUAAUAUUGCUUUUUCUUGCUUUACAAACUGAACUACCCUCAAGUCAACCGUGUGUAACGACGCAUUUAUUACUGUAGUUUGAACAGACACAGACGGGUAAGCAUCGAGGCAUCCAUCCAUCAUGUCAGCUCGAUCGAGAGUGAGGAGGACAGUGUUCAUGUCCACAAAAACUCUAUUAUUGCACGCCAAUAAUACACAUGAUGCCGUCUUUCGCAAAAUGAAAAGGGUCGUAGUACGUGUAGUAAUCGGCCGUUAAAAUGUGUUCCACAUAUCCUUCAAAAAAAAUGUGUUCCACAAUGUCAUGCUGAGUCGAUCGUAACAUCUCCAGAGCUUUUUUUUUUUCCUAUUUGGCAAAUGCUAAUAAGCUCAAAUUUUCCUGUUGUUUAGCUCAUGAUGUAGAUGUGGGUCAAGUCGGAAAACAUUGUAUAUAUCAUUAGGGUCGUGUAACCUCCCUCAUUUUUUUUUACACAAAGCUAAUACUACAUAGCUUUAGCCAUCAUCUCCAUGUAGUAUGAUCAUACUAUAUAUAACAUGGUAUGAUCAGUGUGUGAAUGCUGUUCUUCCUAGGCUAGCCCUAGAGUGGAGCUGAGUCCCUUGAUUUGGGCAAUGCUGCUGCCUGCACUGGCUACAGCGCCACAAAAGCGCAGUGUCAGCAAAAGACUUUCGCACUGCCCCUAUAUAGCCGCGUUAAUUAUCUGCACAUUAGCGCCUACGUACAGGCUACAGAAUCCUAUUGUUUAAUCUUCAGUGGGCUGCUCGAGAGACGGCGAUUAACCGGCGCAGGCGCAGCUACCCAUCCAGUUUUCUACUGUACAGAUCAUACUGAUUUGUACCGUAGCGAUGAGAUUCUACGGCCCGUUUCUGUCGUGUAGCAGAACUGCAGAAGGCAGUACUGGCUGCUGACUGACAAGUGGGGCAAGCAAAGGCACACGUGGCAACUGAACUUCGUAAGAAAUUUUUUUAGUCGGUUUUUUUUGGGGGGGGGGGGGUUGAGAAAGGUAAGGAUGGGAUGGGAAAGUGCUUGAAGAAUUGCUCGCGCGCUCAUCAUAACGCUUCCAACGCACUCAAGGUUUUUUUCAGUCAGGUCAUGGCUUUCUGCCCAUGCAUGCCCAUGUUAACAUCACAUUCACAGUACCCUCUCUCUCUCCCUCUCUCCAGAUCUUGUCCCAGCUAGCAAAUGGAAUAAUCAUGACACAUGGAGUGGUGCCUAAUAACAGUGCAGAUCGGUCCACGGUCAGCUACGUUACUAGCGCCAGUACUGUGCAACACACUUGUCGUCCUGUCGACGUUGUCGUUCUCUCGCACUUCUAAAUUGUUGACGCCUAUAAACUCCCUCCAUGCGAUUCUAAAUUAUCGUCUACUCUUAUUAGGUACUCCCUCCAUGGCUCCAUCCCAAAAUAACUACGUCUACGCUUUACGAGAAAUAACUUUGAGUAAAUAUAUAUUAAAAACUUUAAUAUUUCUAAUACAUAAUUAAUAUCAUUGGAAAGUUCUUUGAGUCUAGUUUUUUAAUAAAUUUAUUUGAAGAUACAAAUAUUGCACAUAUUUUCUAUAAAUCGAGUCAAAAUUUUGGUAUGAAAAUAAAAAACGACAGGACAGAAGGAGUAUACCUUAAAUUCAGAUAUAGUAAAAACAAUAUAUUUAGAAAAAAAACAAAAAUAUCUUAUAAUUUAACAAUGGGAAGGGGGCAGCAUAUACAUACCAAAUAUUAUGUUUAUAGGAAAAAUAAAACGACUUAUAAUAUGAAAUAGAUGGAGUGGUAUUUAUUGUGUAGAGACACUUGGCAAUUCUUGGCAUUAGAAUUGAACAAACAAAAAUUAUAAAAUCCACCUUUGAAGUAGAAGCUAAAACUCUGGCAGCUCCAAUUAUGCUAAUAAUUUUAGAUUUAUGUGAGAUCAAACAUUUUUUAUACCAAAUUUGUUUUAUUUAAUGUACUCUGACAUUUAUACAAAAAUCUAUGAACAUUUUUCAUACCAAAUUUGUUUUAUUAAGUGUACUCUGACAAUGUAUUUAUUCAAACUUACAGAGGUUGAUACAACAUUUUCCUAAAACUUUAUUUAAAUUCAAUGAAUUUUUGGCUAAACAUAAAACUAAAGUAAACUAUAAUUUUAAAACGGAUGGAGCAAAUUAAGUUGUCCACCUUGCAUCUUUUGCAUGGAAAACCUUGUAGAGAAUUCAACAAUCCGCACCGUACAAAUACAAAGCUACCUGUCCACGUUUCCCAACUUUUUGGAUGAUCUUAUAUUGAUGCAUGCAAUGCAACUCAAAUACUACCUACAACCACAUGAUCACGCUCGCGGCAUCAACAAACCUUCCCUUCUCAUAAUAAAUUAGUAAUAAUCUACAUAGAAUUCGGAUCAUGAUCAACACCUAGCCCAAAGCCAUAUCCUUUUCUUUGUCGAUUCAUUCAUUGUCAGUUCUAUACCAUACCAUCUGAGUAUCUGACGCCGGCAAGUUGGCAGAUCAUAUUUUGUAAACCUGCUCUGGGAAAAAAGGGAAGCCUCAAUGAACACUGCAAAUUGCGUUCCAAUCUGUCAAUUGCGUCUCAGCCGGUCCCCAACUCUGACUGUCCCCACGUUUUCAGGCCGCAAAACUUUUCCCCCGCCCGCUGGCUGGCUCCUGCUCCUGUUCCGGUCCAAUCACUAGACCUUUCCCUUUCGAUGACCGCCCGACCUCCUCCUGCCUUUAUCUUCUUCCUGCAGCCAUGAUGCUCUCUCUCUCGAUGCAUGGAGCAUGAAGCAAAGCACACGCCCCCCGGCCCCUCUCACUUGCAUCCUCGUUCCUCCCAUCCAUUCCCGCCUCCCUCUCUUCUUCGAUUGAUUCAGGAGAGCCCAUACAUUUCCUGCACUGUAGCCUGCCUCCAUCUUGUGCGCCGUGCAGUGCAGGCCAAGCUCCUGUUGUUUUGGCCGGCUUUAUGGCCAUCACCUCACCUGCAGCAACUUCAACAAGUACUCACAACCGCCACAGCGGCUAGCUAACCACAGUCACAGUGCAGUAACUCUGCUGCAGUCACACCUGCCCACUAGUUUCGUCACCUGUUACGUCGCCGUCGUCGCGUCGCCAUGGAUUCUUUCUUCUUGAUGGGGGGAUGCAUCGCAUGGGAGUGAGUGCUCCCGCCGGCAAUAUACCAUCAAAGAGCUUUUCUGGUACCGCGCGCCGCUGCAUUCUUCUCGCCUCGCCGGUCGCCGCCCUGCGUUGUGAGUUGUUGGCGUUUUUCGGCUGCCGGUGGCGUGUUUGGCUCUUGAUCUGGAUCUUGUUGCCUUCUUGGAUCGCGGGCCUGUGCUGCUGCGGGAGCAUCAUCCCUGUGCGUUUCUUUAUUACUGCGUCUUGUUGAUCCGGUCCGUGGUGGUGGUGCGCGCACGCAAGACGGACGCAAGAUGAGCAUCCCGCACCUGUUCCGGUGCCCCAUCAGCCUGGACAUCUUCACGGACCCGGUGACGCUGUGCACGGGGCAGACGUACGACCGCCCCUGCAUCGAGCGCUGGCUCGCCGCCGGCCACCGCACGUGCCCCGUCACAAUGCAGCCGCUCGGCGACGCCGCGCUCGUGCCCAACCGCACCCUGCGCCACCUCAUCGAGCGCUGGCUCUCCGCCGACCACCACCACCAGAUCCCCGACGACGACGCGGAGGAGCCGUCGCUCGCGGCGCUCAAGCGCUGCCUCCAGUCCGGCGCCGGCGCCAGGGACAAGGUGGCCGCGCUCAGGAAGGCCGUGGCGCUGGCCUCCGAGUCGGACGUCGGCCGCGCGUGCAUGCUCCAGCUGGGUUUCCUCCCCGUGCUGCUGCAGCUCGUCUUCCACGCGCCCACGCCGCGGGACGACCUGUCCGAGCAGGAGGACCUGGCGCUGCAGUGCGCGCUCACGCUGCUGCCGACGUCGAGCCCGGCGUCGCCGCAGCACGGCUGCCUCAACAUGCUCAAGACGGAAGCCAGCCUCACGUCCUUCGUGGCGCUCCUGGCCGCGCACGGCCGCGCCGUGGCCAAGUGCGGGCUGUGCCGCCUCCUGGAGACGAUCGCCACGGCCACGGCCACGCGGGACCUGGCGCUCGCCGCCGCCGCCUCGCCGCGCGUGUGGCAGGCGCUGCUGCCGCUGCUGCGGCACGGCGACGACCGCGUGUCCGGCGCCGCGGUGCGCGCCGUCGCCGCGAUCUGCUGCGGCGCCGAGCCGGCGCGCGGCAGCGCCGUCCACCACGGCGCCGUCCCCGCGCUCCUCGGCUGCCUGUCGUGGGCGUCCGCGGGCAACGGCAAGGCGCGUGGUGGCGCCGCCGCCGCGGCGUGGAGCGCGCUGGCCGCGCUCGAGGCGCUCGCCGCGUCGGAGGCCGGGCGCCGGGCGGUGGCGCGCGAGCCCGGCGCGGUGCGGGCGCUGGUGAGGCACGUGUUCUUGAUGUCGUCGAGCAACGAGGGAAGCGAGCACGCGGUGGCGGCGCUGCUGGCCGUGUGCAGGGAGUCCAGGGCGGCACGGAGCGAGGCUGCCGGCGCGGGGGUCGUCACGCAGGUGCUGCUGCUGCUGCAGAGCCAGUGCGGCACCAGGGCCAAGACCAGGGCGAGGUCGCUGCUCAAGCUCUUCAAGUCCAUGUGAAACAAGGGGUUUAGUUUAGGUGUUAAUGCUUAGAUGUUCUUGGCUUCAAGCUGUAAGUUUUUGCUUCAAGAACGUCCUCUAAUUGAUUUCAUGGCUACUUCUUGUAAGCUGCGUCAAGAAUGUCUGCUAACAAAGCUGGACACCAUAGCUAUGGUUAUUUCAUGGCCCCAAGUUACAUCAAGAAUGUCUGCUAAUAUCACGGCUUGCAGUCAGGUCCUGUGCAAGUCUCGACACCAUAGCCAGGGCUAUUUCAUGGCCCCAAGUUAUGCAGAUUUUGAUAGUACUGAUAAAGAAUACAUUGGAAUAGCAGCAUAAAGCGGGGAUAGCUCAGUUGGGAGAGCGUCAGACUGAAGAUCUGAAGGUCGCGUGUUCGAUCCACGCUCACCGCAUUUUUUUUGCCUUUUUUAUUUUCAUUCUGUUUUUAUAAACCUUUUAUUGUGUUUCUAUUUUUAUAAACCAUUUUUAAAUUACCAAAUAUGGUCCUGCUGAUUAAUUAAAUUUUGUCCUGACUGCAUUUUUUUUUAUUCUGUUUUUAAACCUUUCUUUAUUUUUGUUCUGUUUUUAUAAACCCUUUUUUAAUAUACACAUUUGGUCCUGCUGACUAAUUUAAUUUUUUCCCUGUUUUUAAACCUUUUGAUUUGAAUAGACAAAUUUAGUCCUCCAUUUGAACCUUUCGAAUAGACAAAUUUGGUCCGGCUGAUUAAUUUAAUUUUGUCCGGUUCUUGAACCUUUUGCAUAGAAAAACUUAGUCCUCGAUUUGAACCUUUCGAAUAGACAAAGUCGCAGACAAAUUUGAUCCGGCUAAUUAAUUUAGUUUUGUUUUGUUUUUAAACCUUUUUGCGUAGACAAACUUAGUCCUCCAUUUGAACCUUUCGAAUAGACAAAAUCGCAAGCAAUUUUUUAGUUAUAUAUGUGUAUACAUACUUAUAUAUUUCGGUCAUUUGUUUCAGUCCUUUUUCUCAAGCUUAUCAACCAGGCAAGGUCAUAAAUAGCUGCGAGUAUUCUAGGCUUUGCAAUUAAAAACGUGCAACCAGGUCGAUGAAAAAAAUAUAAUCUGCACCCCGCUCCCUUCAAGUUUUUUAUUCAAAUUACCUGCUUGAAUCAAGAGCUGAAAUGGAGAUGAAACGGUACAUGUAUAUUCCUCCGAUUCAUUCGGAAAGACAUGGUUACAUCUGCCAUGGAAGUCCCUAACUACUGCUACUUCGCAGAAAUAUCAGCUUACACAAGCUUACGAAUUUACAUCCCGUAGUCAUCUGUAAGAUUUUGUAGGAUUUACAUCAGGACGUAUAUGUACGUAUAACUAUGUAUACCAAGAACGACAACAAACCUUAAAGCCUACGAAUAUACAGAACUUCCUGUUACAAUUUCUCAAGAGCCCCAUUUCGCUGUACUACUGAACCUCCGGUAAGUGCCGUAUUGUAGUAACUAUACAAACAAGUUGCUUCCUGAACAUCUCUGAAUAACUACCUUGUCAUGGAGAUCCUGCGCUCUUGAUUCUCUUUUUCAUAAAUCGUUCUCAGAACCUUUUGGGGGAAAUAUUGGGGGUUUGGAGUUUCAUCUGGCCAACAUCCAGCCAAGGAUCUGAAAUGGCAGGAGCUGGAAUGCGUCUUGUCUGAUUUUGCGUGUAACUUAAUGUGUUGCCAAGACCAGGGGAGAGCAUUGGAUGAGGUGGAGAACGCAUGCACCUCGCGUUGGUUUGCUUAAACUGCCGCAGCGGGCUUGAGCAUGGUGAAACUGGCGUAGACAUGUUUGCUCUUCCAGGAAUAGGGCUGCUGUACAACAAACAUUUUCAGUUAAAAUUGUGGGAAACGGUACAAAGGUAAGGAUGGUAGUAGAAUACCUGUGUGGAGAAGUAACAGCAGUAGAAAAUCCAGUAAAAUCUCGCAUGCUCAGUGCAAUAUCUUUCAGAGGAGUAAUAAUCUUCCGAGAUGGCAACUCCCUGUUGGACUGCAACAAAAUAAAGGAUAAGGAGGGGUCAGCAUUUAGGAGAACAUAUCCUGUGAGUGAAAUAUGAUGGCAUUUCUGCUCCCCUUCUAAAGCAACAAUACCACACUGAACUUAACACUUACUGACAUUGUCAAGCUAGUAAGAUGGGUUAAUUAUCACCCCCCCCCAACCCACCACCCACCCACCCACACAAGGUCAAAUAAUGGGUUCAAACAAGAUCAAAUAGCUCGCCCAAAGGUGAAGUACUCGAAUCAGCGAUCCACUACAAGAUGUUCUAGUUUUCUUAAUUGCACUUGGAAAGUAGAUAAGCAAAUAGAACGAUAAAGAAUGAGAAAAAACUGAGAUUGCUUAACUAGAAACAAUACCAUUGUGUGUCUGCCAUCUGCUGGAGAAGACAUUGCGUUUCUCAAUACACUGGAUUUUGCAGCUCUCACUGCAGGAUGAUCCUGAACAAAAGGAUGAUCCAUCAGCUGGGCUGCAGAGGGACGAGAUGCAGGGUUGCGUUUCAAGCAAAGCUGCAAGAAACUUUUCCCUUCCUCUGAGAAACUGUCUGGGAUUUCAGGUAUAUCUUUACUGUUUGCAAUCUUAAAUAUUGCUGCUACCUGCAAAAUAAGAUUUGAUGACAAUGGCUUAGCAUUAUUCAUCACAGAUAACUGGAAAUGUGGAAAUCCACAACUUCUAAGUGAAGGCCUACCCCCUCAUAUUGGUGCCAAGGAGGUCUUGCCGUUGCCAUUUCAAUAAUGGUACAGCCCAGACUCCAAAUGUCCACUGAUAAACUGUAGCCUUUACUGUUCAUUAUAACCUGAAGAUUUCCCAAUGAUGGGAGAACUUCAUUCAGAGACGGAUAGCAGAUUACGACAAACAACCAAUGAAGUUCAGUAUUAAAAUAGCUCACCUCAGGAGCCAUCCAGUAAGGACUUCCUUUGAAAGAGCGUAUUUCAGCAAAAGAUGAUAUCUGUUCAACAAAGUAAAAUAAAUAAAUGGGUUUACAGAGGAAAAACAAAAGCAAGCACAAUCAGUGUGUAUCCUUGUUUUGGUGACCAUAAAAAAUACAAAACUUGUUCAUUGUUAACAAUCCUUUAGCUGGGCAUGCACAGAAGGGAAACAGACCCUUGGCACCCUUCCAUAACUUUCCUUUUCCACAUUUAUGUGAGUAGGCACUAGGCAGAUAACUGGAAACUUCAGUUUAUAAGAAAUCAGAAUUUGCACCUACUUUAAUUCCUUUUCUAUUAAAAAACAUGGAUUCUAAUGCAAUUGAGUAAUAUUUACUUCAGCUGCAAUUUCUCGAACUACUUCAACUGCAAUUUCUCGAACUACUUCAACUGCAAACUCUUUAAGGAUGCACAUAAGCAUUCCUCAGCGAAUUUCCAGGGUGCACAGGCGAAAAGGACUACCGUGGGUCGUACAAAAUGGAGGGCACUCGGGACAGAAUCAGUAGUUGACUUUUUAAGUCCAGAGAAAUACUAAAUAUUAUGAUAAUUGAAAGUGCUAAACACAGACAGAUAGAUAAACGGUCAGAAAGUAAAUGCUGCAUACAUGCUUAGCCAUGCCAAAGUCAGCAAGCUUGACUUCACCAUUAGGACCCACAAGUAUGUUUGCUCCUUUGAUAUCUCUGCCAAGAAAAUAAGUAUGACAUGAUUAUUGCACUUUGACCUAUAUGACUAUACCUAUGGGACAAGAACACAGUUUUAGACAACAAAACAACCUGUGGACAGUGUUUCGCCCAUGCAAGUAGGCAAGACCUGCAAGAAUUUGCCCAGUGUAAUUACGAAUCACAGGUUCCUUAAAAGGGCCAUAUUCUCUUAGUAACUUGUGGAUUGAACCCCCUGAAACAUACUCAAGAUAAAUGGAAAGUGCUUCAUCACUCUGCAUACAGAAACAGGUACGAUUAGAAAGUGUAAGCAUGGCCAUGUUGUAAUGCAACACCCAUAAAAGCUGAUGAACACUAAGCACUGUGAUACUAGAACCACAAAACUAACCCUUGAGGUGGACAAACAAUAGAACAGUAGCAUUUUACCAAUUUCUGCAGCUCCUAAUACCAAUACCACCCAAAACACUGAAUGAAUUCCAUAUUCUUUAGGUCACUAUAUACAGUCACAUGCAUUGGAGCACAGAAUUAAUGUUGCUAUCGUAUAUGUAUACAAUAACAUUCUUUGACAUGUUAAGUUAAUAAGUUCAAAUAGUGAUGAAGCCCUUGUAAACAAGUAAACUUUUUGUGCAUGAAUGCCCCAACCCUUUCUCUAAAAUAGUCAAUCAAGCACAAAUGCACUAUAUAUGUUAUCUGUGGAAUCUCACUAAGGAAUUCAUAACAACUUUCUACUAGCUCACAAAAAUGAAUCAUAUUCAUAUGACAACAUAUGCAUGGAAUAAAAAACGUGAUAGGGCAAACAAGUACUGGAACUAAAUUGCUGCAGAGAUAACUGAAAUGGAUUAUGAAAUAAAACUUACCAGCUCACUUCCAUGAUACUGCACUAUGUUCGGGUGGGAGAGUUGUCUAAGCAUAUCUAUUUCCUGUCAAUACCAAAAUUAAUCAUGUGGAUCAGUCAAUCAAACAAGAGAUAAAAAAUACAUUCAUGAGACGGCAAACCUAGGUAGACAGCAGCAGUAAGUACCUGAUUUAAUUGUUUGAGUCGUUCCUUUGAAUGUGGAUCGUCCAUAAUAACUUCAACCUCCUUAAUUGCACAAAACUGUCCAUUUUCACUGCAUUGUUGAACAAUCAUAAACUAAGGAUAUUUUUUUAAUAUGAUUGAAUAUAUCAGUUUGUUUGCACCGUCAUAUCUCUAAUGAAUAAGUGCAGCAUGAGGUGCACUUCUAAUGCAUUAAAUUUCACUAGAUAUCACAAAGUUUCCAUGAUGUAAAAAGGGGGCACAAAUGUGAUACCUGUUAAAUCCAAGGUAAACCUGGCCAAAUGUACCACUCCCUAGCAAUUUUCCUUUCUUCCAUUGCGACUGGGACUGUGAGGAGGUAGUAGGAGAUGCAGGAAGAGGUGGGCAGGAACUGGGAGAUGAAGGAAGAGGCGAGCAUGGACUGUGGAUUGGAGGAAGAGGUGAGCAAGCACCAGAAGCUGGAUGGAGAGGUGAGCAUGCACCAGAAGCUGGGUGAAGAGGUGAGCAAGCAGCAGAAGCUGGAAGAAGAGGAGAGCAAGUAGCAGAAGCUGGAGGAAGAGGUAAGGGAUGUGGUGGGCUCCUCAACCCAUCCAUCUUUCUUACUGGUGACCUCGGGCUAAAACCAAAUUCUCUAGAAUUUCCAUUGCUCACAGCGAAGACAUGGCCUUUUGGGACAG
This 29536-nucleotide long non-coding RNA is filed under the name Sorghum bicolor (sorghum). Its description in RNAcentral is "long non-coding RNA (SBIC_LNC011204)". The stretch from base 24623 to 24695 matches the Rfam family "tRNA". The record is from RNAcentral. Lineage: Eukaryota; Viridiplantae; Streptophyta; Magnoliopsida; Poales; Poaceae.